RNAcentral lists this ribosomal RNA (513 nucleotides) under uncultured bacterium. Its description in RNAcentral is "partial 16S ribosomal RNA". It matches the Rfam family "Bacterial small subunit ribosomal RNA", at positions 28 to 523 of the family's 1533-position model. The record is from RNAcentral.
GACGAACGCUGGCGGCGUGCCUAAUACAUGCAAGUUGAGCGCUGAAGGUUGGUACUUGUACCGACUGGAUGAGCAGCGAACGGGUGAGUAACGCGUGGGGAAUCUGCCUUUGAGCGGGGGACAACAUUUGGAAACGAAUGCUAAUACCGCAUAAAAACUUUAAACACAAGUUUUCAGUUUGAAAGAUGCAAUUGCAUCACUCAAAGAUGAUCCCGCGUUGUAUUAGCUAGUUGGUGAGGUAAAGGCUCACCAAGGCGUUGAUACAUAGCCGACCUGAGAGGGUGAUCGGCCACAUUGGGACUGAGACGCGGCCCAAACUCCUACGGGAGGCAGAAGUAGGGAAUCUUCGGCAAUGGACGAAAGUCUGACCGAGCAACGCCGCGUGAGUGAAGAAGGUUUUCGGAUCGUAAAACUCUGUUGGUAGAGAAGAACGUUGGUGAGAGUGGAAAGCUCAUCAAGUGACGGUAACUACCCAGAAAGGGACGGCUAACUACGUGCCAGCAGCCGCCGUAA